RNAcentral lists this ribosomal RNA (230 nucleotides) under Lepidopsetta bilineata (rock sole). RNAcentral's name for it is "partial 16S ribosomal RNA". RNAcentral also lists the same sequence under 1 other name. Lineage: Eukaryota; Metazoa; Chordata; Actinopteri; Pleuronectiformes; Pleuronectidae. The record is from RNAcentral.
AUGGAGCUUUAGACACACAGGUGGACCAUGUCAAAUACCCCCAGCUAAGGGCCUGAACUAAAUGGAACCUGCCUUGAUGUCUUCGGUUGGGGCGACCAUGGGGAAUACAAAACCCCCACGUGGAAAGGGAGCACACCCCUAAGUUACUUCUUCUCCCGCAAGCCAGAGCAACAGCUCUAACAAGCAGAAAUUCUGACCAAACUGAUCCGGUAAAACCGAUCAACGAACCA